UACAGAGGGUGCAAGCGUUGUUCGGAAUUAUUGGGCGUAAAGGGCGUGUAGGCGGUCUGCUAAGUCAUGUGUGAAAUCCCUCGGCUUAACCGAGGAACGACGCAUGAAACUGGCAAGCUAGAGUACCAAAGAGGGGGGUGGAAUUCCCGGUGUAGCGGUGAAAUGCGUAGAGAUCGGCAGGAACACCAAAGACGAAGGUACCCACCUGGGCAUCAGCUGACACUCAGGUGCGACAGCGUGGGGAGCGAACCGG
Molecule: ribosomal RNA, 253 nt
Filed under: uncultured bacterium
Lineage: Bacteria
Description: partial 16S ribosomal RNA
Rfam family: Bacterial small subunit ribosomal RNA
Source: RNAcentral